RNAcentral lists this ribosomal RNA (450 nucleotides) under Dictyocaulus viviparus (bovine lungworm). Its description in RNAcentral is "partial large subunit ribosomal RNA". The record is from RNAcentral. Lineage: Eukaryota; Metazoa; Nematoda; Chromadorea; Rhabditida; Metastrongylidae.
GGUUCGAGUAUGAAUGAAGUUUUGAUAAUUUUUUUUAUUAAUUUUAUAAUGAAUUUUUUUUGUAAAUAAAAAAUUUUGUUUUUAUUUUUGCAAAGAUAAGUCUUCGUAAAUUCUUUUUAAUUUUUUUAAAAAAAAAAAUUAAAGUUUUCUAGGGUAGAAUUUUUUGUAUGUAUAUUUUUCUAUUAUUAGUUUAGAGAAUUACUUCGGAGUUAACAGAAAUUCAUAUUUUAUCUAGUUCUUAUAGUAAAGUAAGUUUUACAUCGGUGUUGUAUUUAUAUUGUUUGGGAGGUAGAAUGUUCAAUAUUUAAGACUGUUCUUCUUUUUAGUAUAACGUGAUAUUAGUUUAAUUCAUCGUGAGAUAGAAUUGUUUAUCUUGAAAAAUAAUUUUUUUUUUUAGGUUUUUAGUACGAAAGGAAAAAUAGUUGAAGUUAAAAACUUUAUGAUGUACGG